Molecule: microRNA precursor, 117 nt
Filed under: Podarcis lilfordi (Lilford's wall lizard)
Lineage: Eukaryota; Metazoa; Chordata; Lepidosauria; Squamata; Lacertidae
Source: RNAcentral
GGAGAAGAAGGGAAGCAGACAGAGAGAGACACAAGCAGAACAGAAAGCAGAACAGAACAGAAAGGCUAGCCUUUCUGUUCUGCUUGUAUCUCUCUCUGUCUGCUUCCCUUCUUCUCC